AAGGGAUUAGCUGAGUUGGUUCUAGCGGUAAUUUUACACAUUACAGACAGAGUUUCGAGUACUCUAUCCCUUA
Molecule: transfer RNA, 73 nt
Filed under: Leucoagaricus sp. SymC.cos
Lineage: Eukaryota; Fungi; Basidiomycota; Agaricomycetes; Agaricales; Agaricaceae
Rfam family: tRNA
About the family: Transfer RNA (tRNA) molecules are approximately 80 nucleotides in length.
Source: Rfam by way of RNAcentral